Molecule: long non-coding RNA, 686 nt
Organism: Anguilla rostrata (American eel)
Lineage: Eukaryota; Metazoa; Chordata; Actinopteri; Anguilliformes; Anguillidae
Exons: 4
Source: RefSeq, a predicted model, not a curated record
GCCGCAGACAGGCACGUAAACGACUAGUGUCUGUCUCUAACUGCUAUAACUGAUGUAAGAGUUAGAAUCUUGAUCCAAAUAUAUAAAACCGUGAAGGCGCUUGGAGGUGUUAAUAUUUCCUUCCGUAUCUCAAAAUAUCUGGCAUUGUUUAAGUCAAACACGCGGUAGCCUAUAUGAGAAACGCAUUAUUUCCACGCAGAAAAAAGUUUUUUUUCCUGUGUCACCAGACAGUUGUUCAUAAAUACACAGCAAACGGAAGCAGCACCUAGCAUUUCUCCUAGUGGCCUUGUUUUCGUGGCGAUGUCUACCUUCUCCCGUGCGUAAAGACGAGGAGAGGAGAUGCUGAUGCUGCUGAGGUUGCUCUUGCGUGACUACACUUUACCAGAGCUGCCGGACCAAGUGUAUGAAUGAUCAUGCCCUUCACAUGGACCAAAGAGAAACAAAUCCAAAAAGUUUUUCAAAGGAAUAAUAACAAAAGCGUUUUUCCAGAUUUUGAAAUUUCUUGAGAUUUGCCUGUGGAGACGCGGCGGGCGCGCGGGAAGAUGAUAUCACCGGGGCGCCGGGGGGCUGCGUGGCGGACGCCGCGCUUCGCGGGGACGCACCAGGUACUCGCCGUCGCCGCCGCCGCAGAUGAGGGCGCUUUCUCCCCUCGCCGAGCCCCCCGCUCGUCCUCCAUGUUGCAUAAU